GACUUCAGUGAAACCUCUUUCAUUUCUGUCUUUCUGAAUAACAAGUUCCCAUCUUUUUAGACUAUCCUUAUAUGAUAUGAUCCUUAUAUCUUUUGCUACUGAUACUUUCUGUUACCCUUCUCAUUUCCCAGUUUUUUCUUCUUUUUCAGGAUUCUUAUAUCAUUCCUCACACACAGUGAUAAGGCAUUUGUACAAUACCUUUCUGUAUUGGACACUGCAAAGAAUAUCAGGGUCCUUUAUUUGUAACUUAGUAGAUGCCAACUUAUGUUCUUCUUUAUCUUUAGCAGCCAAUACAUCAAUAUCAGCUAAUAUUUAAUAGUUUCCUGGCAGGGCCUCAGCUUCACUUCAAAGUUGAUUUUCCCCAGUGAGAGUACAGCUGGAAGAAUCCAGAAGUGCACUAUGCCACAAUCCACUACCCCAGGCUGUGAAGGCCCAGCUCUUGGGCAAAGCUCUAGGUGACCCACCCUUCAGAUGUCACACAAAUAAAUGCCAAGAAAACAUAUUAUGAAGAGAGGCACUGGAGGCAGAAGUGGAGGAAAGAAAACAGAAUAUCAUCUUUGGAGACCUAGGAUCUCUUAAGACAAGUACAGACUGAGCUCUCCUUAAACUCCAAGACAGUA
Canis lupus familiaris (dog) is the source of this 620-nucleotide long non-coding RNA. RefSeq lists it as uncharacterized. The record is from RefSeq and is a predicted model, not a curated record. Lineage: Eukaryota; Metazoa; Chordata; Mammalia; Carnivora; Canidae. The transcript is spliced from 3 exons.